GACGAACGCUGGCGGCGUGCCUAAUACAUGCAAGUCGAACGCAGUGGGGACGGGUGAGUAACACGUGGGUAACCUCCCAUCAGAGGGGAUAACACUUGGAAACAGGUGCUAAACCGAUACUGAUGGAUGGACCCGCGGGGCAUUAGCUAGUAGGUGGGGUAACGGCUCACCAAGGCCACGAUGCAUAGCGGGCCUGAGAGGGUGAUCGGCCACACUGGGACUGAGACACGGCCCAGACUCCUACGGGAGGCAGCAGUAGGGAAUAUUGGGCAAUGGGCGAAAGUCUGACCGAGCAACGCCGCGUGAAUGAAGAAGGUUUUCGGAUUGUAAAGCACUGUUGUUAGAGAAGCGGUAUCUAACCAGGAAGCCACGGCUAACUCCGUGCCAGCAGCCGCGGUAAUAC
This 403-nucleotide ribosomal RNA is filed under the name uncultured bacterium. RNAcentral's name for it is "partial 16S ribosomal RNA". It matches the Rfam family "Bacterial small subunit ribosomal RNA", at positions 28 to 526 of the family's 1533-position model. The record is from RNAcentral.